RNAcentral lists this transfer RNA (97 nucleotides) under Acidobacteriota bacterium. Its description in RNAcentral is "tRNA-Sec". It matches the Rfam family "Selenocysteine transfer RNA". Lineage: Bacteria; Pseudomonadati; Acidobacteriota. RNAcentral also lists the same sequence under 1 other name. The record is from RNAcentral.
GGAAGCUAGACUCUGCCGGUGCAGGGCCCGGUCUUCAAAACCGGAGUGCGGCACUUUUCAUGUCACGGGUGGGUUCGACUCCCAUUAGCUUCCGCCA